Molecule: transfer RNA, 84 nt
Filed under: endosymbiont of Pachyrhynchus infernalis
Lineage: Bacteria; Pseudomonadati; Pseudomonadota; Gammaproteobacteria
Rfam family: tRNA
About the family: Transfer RNA (tRNA) molecules are approximately 80 nucleotides in length.
Source: Rfam by way of RNAcentral
ACCGAAGUGGUGGAAUAGGCAUACACAAUUGACUCAAAAUCAAUUAUCUUAAAUGAUAUGUCGGUUCAAAUCCGACCUUCGGUA